AGGAACUUAUGGGGCAGGAUGCUCACAGAACUGUAGUGGUAACUGUCUGUAUGGGACUCCUUGUAAUACAAGUACUGGAGUAUGUGAUGAAGGCUGUAACCCUGGGUAUACUAGAGAGAACUGUGAUAAAGAAUGCCCUGUCGGUACCUUUGGUCCAAAUUGUAAGAGCAACUGCAGUGGGAACUGUGUGAAUAAUGAGACUUGUAACAAUGUGAACGGAAGUUGUUUGCAUGGUUGCAAAGCAGGCUUCCAAGGAUUCUACUGUAAAGAAAAAUGUACCCAUGGGACGUACGGAGACUGCAGACAAAGUUGUAGUGGACAUUGUGCCAAUAAUGAAACCUGUAACUUUGUUGACGGACAUUGUAAAAAUGGAUGCAAUCCAGGGUAUCAUGGACAGAAAUGUAAUUCUUGUACGUAUGAAACUGCUU
Saccostrea echinata is the source of this 428-nucleotide long non-coding RNA. RefSeq lists it as uncharacterized. NCBI's taxonomy places the organism in Eukaryota, Metazoa, Mollusca, Bivalvia, Ostreida, Ostreidae. The record is from RefSeq and is a predicted model, not a curated record. The transcript is spliced from 3 exons.